Molecule: ribosomal RNA, 610 nt
Filed under: uncultured bacterium
Lineage: Bacteria
Description: bacterial SSU rRNA
Rfam family: Bacterial small subunit ribosomal RNA
Source: RNAcentral
UAAAGAUUCAUCGCUGAUAGAUAGGCAUGCGUUCCAUUAGGCAGUUGGCGGGGUAACGGCCCACCAAACCGACGAUGGAUAGGGGUUCUGAGAGGAAGGUCCCCCACAUUGGUACUGAGACACGGACCAAACUCCUACGGGAGGCAGCAGUGAGGAAUAUUGGUCAAUGGGCGUAAGCCUGAACCAGCCAAGUCGCGUGAGGGAUGAAGGUUCUAUGGAUCGUAAACCUCUUUUAUAAGGGAAUAAAGUGCGGGACGUGUCCCGUUUUGUAUGUACCUUAUGAAUAAGGAUCGGCUAACUCCGUGCCAGCAGCCGCGGUAAUACGGAGGAUCCGAGCGUUAUCCGGAUUUAUUGGGUUUAAAGGGUGCGUAGGCGGCCUUUUAAGUCAGCGGUGAAAGUUUGUGGCUCAACCAUAGAAUUGCCGUUGAAACUGGGAGGCUUGAGUAUGUUUGAGGCAGGCGGAAUGCGUGGUGUAGCGGUGAAAUGCUUAGAUAUCACGCAGAACCCCGAUUGCGAAGGCAGCCUGCCAAGCCAUGACUGACGCUGAUGCACGAAAGCGUGGGGAUCAAACAGGAUUAGAUACCCUGGUAGUCCACGCAGUAAACGAUGA